RNAcentral lists this ribosomal RNA (492 nucleotides) under uncultured bacterium. Its description in RNAcentral is "partial 16S ribosomal RNA". It matches the Rfam family "Bacterial small subunit ribosomal RNA", at positions 29 to 507 of the family's 1533-position model. The record is from RNAcentral.
AGUGAACGCUGGCGGUAGGCCCAACACAUGCAAGUCGAACGGCAGCACAGUAAGAGCUUGCUCUUACGGGUGGCGAGUGGCGGACGGGUGAGGAAUACAUCGGAAUCUACUUUUUCGUGGGGGAUAACGUAGGGAAACUUACGCUAAUACCGCAUACGACCUACGGGUGAAAGCAGGGGAUCUUCGGACCUUGCGCGAUUGAAUGAGCCGAGGUCGGAUUGGUUAGUUGGCGGGGUAAAGGCCCACCAAGGCGACGAACCGUAGCUAGUCUGACAGGAUGUCCACCCACACUGGACCUGGACAAGGCUCCAGACUCCUAGGGGAGGAAGAGGUGGGGAAUAUUGGACAAUGGGGGCAAGCCGGAUCCAGCCAGACCGCGUAGGUGAAGAAGGCCUUCGAGUUGUAAAGCCCGCUUGUUGGGAAAGAAAAGCGGCAGGUUAAUACCCCGCUGUUCUGACGGUACCCAAAGAAUAAGCACCGGCUAACUUCGUG